UUGUGAUUUCACUCCAGCAAAAGGCAAACUCUCAGGAGCUCCUUUCUUUUGGGUCUGGAAUGGUGACACCUGAACUGCGUCACUGGCAGGUUAAUUCAGGCUCUGAUUUCACUCACUGCUCUGUGCUGAGCUCCUGCCAAACAGCUGGAAAGAGUGGGAGGAGGAUCCUCCCCCACCCCCAGGAAGGGAUCAGCGCUUCACAAAGCAGUGACUAAAUCGUCGCUGCUUUUCCCCCUCUGAACCGUGUCUUUCUGCCGCCGGAGUGAAGGGAAUUUUGCCCCAGACCCGCCAGGUUGAAACCACUAACAAAUCAUUUUCGGACGCGUCUUCCUGCGCAACAAACGGGCCUCGAAGAUCUUCCGGAGGUGGUUCAAAAAUGCAAGCAGUGAAAGGGAAUCUUGGUUUUCUCCUCGGGUGUUUCCAUCUGGAAUACUCUGAAAAACACGGCGAAUCAGUUCAAUUGAGCAGGAACACACUGAAACCCUUCAAAAAACACUCCGGGGAAAACAAUGGCACUUGCAGUGACUUCCCCGCAGCGCGUCGGGGAGGGGAGAACAAAAGGGCCGAUUUAUCGGGCGCGAGAAGAAUGCUGUUAUUGUUCCUUUAUUUCCUACACACACCCACCCAAACAGAAAGGAGCCCUUCCUCGGAACACCACCGGGCCGGGGAUGUCUCAGCUGCUCUGCCCGUGCAGGCAGGAACGCCAAGAACUUUACGGGAUUGCUUAACAAGCUCUGAGCAAGCGGCUCUAACCCCUGGCGAGGGCGUAGGGGUGUGUGUGGGGGGGUUUCGGGCCGAAUUUGCAUAGAGGUGUAAAGAAGCGGCUCUGACUUGUCUCCACCUUUGAAACCCGGUUAAUUGUUCCUUUGAUUCAUUCAUCCACGCUGCCUGGUUAGCAGGGAACACGCCGCCGCUCGUGUUGGAACUCGACCUCGCCAGCGUGUUCCGAGCCCGGACAGAAGGGCUGGUUUGGUCGGCAUCGCCACAAACACCAAACUUCCAGUAAGAGGAGAGGGGUUUCUGCAGGAUGACUGCAGCAGGGGGGCUCGGUGUGACGUCCAUCCCUCCAGCUGAUGGCUGUGCUAUAAAUCAC
Myiozetetes cayanensis is the source of this 1093-nucleotide long non-coding RNA. RefSeq lists it as uncharacterized. The transcript has 3 exons. The record is from RefSeq and is a predicted model, not a curated record. NCBI's taxonomy places the organism in Eukaryota, Metazoa, Chordata, Aves, Passeriformes, Tyrannidae.